Non-coding RNA from Myotis brandtii (Brandt's bat), 74 nucleotides. The record is from Rfam. Lineage: Eukaryota; Metazoa; Chordata; Mammalia; Chiroptera; Vespertilionidae.
GGCGGUUCUCAGUGAUGCACCCCAGAAUCGGGCUCCCUCCUCUCUGGUUCCAGGUGUGUCACCUAAGAACUGCA